GUGACUUAUAGCGACUCCGGCUCCAUUUAUAUGUCACCAUUCCGUCCGUAAUUUUGAAAUACCUUCAUCCAUGUGUCUACUACGUAUGCGUGUGAUAUUUGUGAGGUGCAUAUGUGAUUUGUGUAUGUGCGUGUGCGCAUUGGAGAGGUCGUCCACAUCUCUCGUCUGCAUGGCUCUUAGCGCGGAGCCUUUGAUGUGCUUUUAGAAUGGCCGUACAGCUCUCUGCUUUACCUCUCGCUUGACAAUUGUUUAUUAGUUUUGAAACGGCUUUAGUGGACAUCAGGCUCUCUGGGAUGGCGAGUUUUAGAAGAGGACAACUCAACAAUUCACCACGACUCCUCCUCUGGUGCAGGAACCUGGACGGAGGCUCGUGGAGACCAUUGGAGGGCCAAGGGAGACUCUGGGACGGAUGAGGCAGGAGACCAUAAACACACAUGAGCAUCUCUCUCACUGUCAAGGCAUCCUGGGCUGUGAUUGGCUGAGGGCUGCACUGGCACCGGCGUCUAUUGGCUGGGCUGAGGAUGAAUGGCUGUGCUGACAGCCAAUGGGGCCAAACGAGGGAGUGCCGAAAAAUCCUGUGAUGGAUGCGGAUCUGAGCCUUGCCCUCAUUCCCUCCCCCUCUCCCUCUCUCUCUCUCUCUCUCUCUCUCUCUCUCUCUCUCUGUCUCCAUCUCGCUUUCUCUGCUCAUCAGACUGUCUCUCGUCAUCCUUAUUAGUCCAGAUGAAGAUGGAUAUGAGCAGUCAGUUAUUUAUGGAUGAUGGCGGAGCUCUGGACCUCUCUUUCAAUUCUUUAAUGUUCUAACUGAGACCUGAGCAUGUUUCACAUUACCUGUUUAAGUAUUAUUCAUGUCCACAAUGGAAAUUGCUAUUUUUCCACAGCUCUUUUAUCUUUGUCUUUUAUAUUAAGGUUCAGGAUUUACAGUGAAAUAUACAUUUCAUUACUCAUUUAAAUGGCAAUAUGUUUCAGUAAAAACAGAUUGUGUAAAAUGCGAAGCCCUUUUCCACAAUAAUGUCUAAAGUUCACUCAAAGCUACGUAGAACAAAGAGAAUAUAUUUCAAAAGCUACAUGAACCACUUUUAUGUCGUUUUUGAUUUGUUGUCUAAUGGAUCAUGCUUGUUAUGUUAUUUUUUAUGAAAAAGCAGCAUUGAGCAAAUAGUCCUUUAGCAAAUUUUAUAGCAAAAAGCUGUGAAAAAUGUUUACACUCAAAUCUUGCAUCUUCAUAGCUCAGGUUGUGUUUCAUUCAAGUAUCAACUUAUUCUCAGAGGUGUCUCCUAAAAUUGUUGAAAAAUAAAAACUGAAACAA
Molecule: long non-coding RNA, 1303 nt
Organism: Triplophysa dalaica
Lineage: Eukaryota; Metazoa; Chordata; Actinopteri; Cypriniformes; Nemacheilidae
Exons: 3
Source: RefSeq, a predicted model, not a curated record